Molecule: ribosomal RNA, 229 nt
Filed under: uncultured bacterium
Lineage: Bacteria
Description: partial 16S ribosomal RNA
Rfam family: Bacterial small subunit ribosomal RNA
Source: RNAcentral
UGCGCAGGUGGGCUUAUAAGUCAGUGGUGAAAUACUGCCGCUUAACGGUAGAACUGCCAUUGAUACUGCAAGUCUUGAGUAUGGUUGAGGUAGGCGGAAUGUGUUGUGUAGCGGUGAAAUGCAUAGAUAUGACACAGAACUCCAAUUGCGAAGGCAGCUUACUAAGCCAUUACUGACGCUGAGGCACGAAAGCGUGGGGAGCGAACAGGAUUAGAUACCCUGGUAGUCC